Molecule: ribosomal RNA, 534 nt
Filed under: epsilon proteobacterium 900_3_5
Lineage: Bacteria; Pseudomonadati; Campylobacterota
Description: bacterial SSU rRNA
Rfam family: Bacterial small subunit ribosomal RNA
Source: RNAcentral
CUUAGAGUUUGAUCCUGGCUCAGAAUGAACGCUGGCGGCGUGCUUAACACAUGCAAGUCGAACGGUAACAGGAAGAAGCUUGCUUCUUUGCUGACGAGUGGCGCACGGGUGAGUAAUAUAUAGGUAAUGUGCCCCUUGGACCGGGAUAGCCACUGGAAACGGUGAUUAAUACUGGAUACUCCUUUUAAUCAUAAGAUUAAUCGGGAAAUGGAUUCCGCCAAGGGAUCGGCCUAUAUCCUAUCAGGUAGUUGGUGAGGUAAGAGCUCACCAAGCCAAUGACGGGUAGCGGGUUUGAGAGGAUGAUCCGCCACACUGGUACUGAGACACGGACCAGACUCCUACGGGAGGCAGCAGUGAGGAAUAUUGCACAAUGGGGGAAACCCUGAUGCAGCAACGCCGCGUGGAGGAUGACGCAUUUCGGUGUGUAAACUCCUUUUAUAUGUCAAGAAAAUGACGGUAGCAUAUGAAUAAGCACCGGCUAACUCCGUGCCAGCAGCCGCGGUAAUACGGAGGGUGCAAGCGUUAUUCGGAAUC